GAUGAACGCUGGCGGCGUGCCUAAUACAUGCAAGUCGAGCGAACGGACGAGAAGCUUGCUUCUCUGAUGUUAGCGGCGGACGGGUGAGUAACACGUGGAUAACCUACCUAUAAGACUGGGAUAACUUCGGGAAACCGGAGCUAAUACCGGAUGAUAUUUUGAACCGCAUGGUUCAAAAGUGAAAGACGGUCUUGCUGUCACUUAUAGAUGGAUCCGCGCUGCAUUAGCUAGUUGGUAAGGUAACGGCUUACCAAGGCAACGAUGCAUAGCCGACCUGAGAGGGUGAUCGGCAGCACUAGAGAGUAGACCGCGACCAGAGAACGACGGGCGGCAGCAGUAGGGAAUUGUCAGCAAGGGGCGCAAGCCUGACGUAGCAACGCCGCGGGAAUAAUGAAGGUCUUAGGAUCGGAAAACUCUUUUAUGAGAGAAAAACAUAUGUGCAAGUAACUGUGCACAUCUGGACGGUACUUAAUCAGAAAACCACGGCUAACUACGUG
Molecule: ribosomal RNA, 497 nt
Filed under: uncultured bacterium
Lineage: Bacteria
Description: partial 16S ribosomal RNA
Rfam family: Bacterial small subunit ribosomal RNA
Source: RNAcentral